Molecule: long non-coding RNA, 759 nt
Filed under: Vulpes vulpes (red fox)
Lineage: Eukaryota; Metazoa; Chordata; Mammalia; Carnivora; Canidae
Description: lncRNA (ENSVVUG00000023965.1)
Source: RNAcentral
GAAAGUUUUGUUAAAAAGUUUUUGCUAAGAAUGUUGAUCGCGGCGUUAUUUAUGAUUUUUCCAGGAUCCAGCGUAGCGCCCGGCACGUAGUCUCCAAUGAGUGAGAUGAACAAAGGAACAAAGGAACAGGACAAACCAAGAGUGAAGUGACUCCAAGUUAUGGGAUACGAUGGGGCAAUAAAAGGCAACACAGGCAACAUUGGAACCUGAGGAGACAGUGGGCUGAGUUCACGACAUGGGGGGUUAGCAGUGUCCUCGGAGAGACGGUGACAGCCGGACAGCUAGAGAGUGAGGCCGUUCACCUUCUGGAUCUGGGAUCUCGAUGCUCAUCUUUGCCAGGAGGAGGAUGCUGCUGGCGGACGUGCCCACACUGCGCAGCCCGGACCUUCCAGCCCUUAGCUGAGACUAAGUGUCCCGUGCGGGAGGCCGCAGCCCGCCGGCUCACCUGUGCCCUUCGUAGCCGGAGCGAGGUAAUAACCGGUAGCGCUGUGCUUCCUGCGGCCCGUAUCCCCCCAACAACCCCAGUCGUGGAAUAAAUGCUACAACAACCACGUGAAGAUCACAUAAACCCUUCUAGUAACUAAAGGUAGGGAUUAGGAGACCUGGAAAGUGAGUGAUCACAGAUGAAGCUCUGACUUCUCCGUGUUUUCGAUUCUUCUGAUGUCUGGCGUGUUUUCAGGCAGUGGCCACCACAGACUGUAUGUACAAUUGUAUGUACAAUUUAUGAUUUUGAUGGGAAAUAACACCUGCUUUUAUACC